UGCUUAUUUUGCUCAGGCGGAGCUCGACCGCCCGUUUCGGAAAUGAUCGCAUUCAUUCAGGGCCACCGAGGUCAACAUGGGGUCGAGCCGAUGUGCCGCGUUCUGCAGAUCGCCCCA
This is a non-coding RNA of Sulfitobacter mediterraneus, 117 nucleotides long. Lineage: Bacteria; Pseudomonadati; Pseudomonadota; Alphaproteobacteria; Rhodobacterales; Roseobacteraceae. The record is from Rfam.